UAGUCUUUUAUAAAACAUUUUUCUAAAAAAAACGGAUUAUAAUAUAUAUAUAUGUAUUUUUUAAUUUAGUCUUUUUCAUGUUAACACCACCUUGAUUUUAUCCUCUGUUCUAAUACCAUUUGUCUCACCCGUCUCCCUCAACGUUGAGACGACAUGCUUUCACCUUACUUAACAUAGACAACGUUUCCAAAAAGACCAUGAUCGAUUUGCAACGUUUCGAGACCGACAAAUGACUGGAUUUCAUUAUAAUUUUCGAGAUCAACAU
This 265-nucleotide small RNA is filed under the name Arabidopsis thaliana (thale cress). RNAcentral describes it as "ATSL280910". The record is from RNAcentral. Lineage: Eukaryota; Viridiplantae; Streptophyta; Magnoliopsida; Brassicales; Brassicaceae.